GAAUUUUUUUUUUCCUUGCUCAGUCUGCCAAAUUAGCUUGCCAGGGAUCAACCAAGUGCUAUGAUUCUUUCAGUCCAGAUCAGCACAAGGCUGCUUCUGAAGACCUGUGUGCCACCUGCAAAUCUGUCGUGGCUGAUAUCCGCGCCUUGGACCGAGAUCAGGAUCUUCAGAAUGUGAUCAGGAGCCUUCUCAAAAAUGCCUGCUCAAAAACGGGACAAUGUCAAGAUCUGGUAAGUUGUCUAAGGAGUGUGUU
This is a long non-coding RNA of Aplysia californica (California sea hare), 253 nucleotides long. RefSeq lists it as uncharacterized. NCBI's taxonomy places the organism in Eukaryota, Metazoa, Mollusca, Gastropoda, Aplysiida, Aplysiidae. The record is from RefSeq and is a predicted model, not a curated record. The transcript has 3 exons.